AUGGAGCAGUCAAGCAAGGAAAACGGAUUAAUCCAGCGAGUCCCGGAGGAGUGCCUGACCACAGUCAUCGGCCUGACCUCGCCGGCCGACGCCUGCCGCUCCGCUGUGGUGUCCGCCGGCUUCCGGUCAGCGGCGGACUCGGACGCCGUGUGGGAGCGGUUCCUGCCUCUGGACUGCGAUGCCGUCCUGGAGCGAGCGGUCCACUUCGUGGAUUCCUCCUCCAGGAAGGAGCUCUUCAUGGAUCUCAGCGACGAGCACGUCCUCCUCGACGACGGCAAAAGGAGUUUCGGGCUCCAGCGAUCGAGUGGCGCCAAAUGCUACAUGUUAUCUGUGAGGGAGAUGGCAAUCGCUUGGGUUAAAAUAGAUCUUUACUGGAGAGAGAGGUCGGACCCAGAUUCGAGGUUCUCCAUGGUGGCAGAGCUCAUGUCAGUGUGCUGGCUGAGCAUCUCUGGCCACAUCAGCACCAAGGAGCUCUCUCCGGGCACACACUACGCGGCCUACCUCGUCUUCAAGCUCACUCACGACGCCUCCGGCCUCGCCUCCCCACAGCAGCGAUCGGUCCUCUCCGUAGGCGGCCGGCAGAGCUCGACGCACACGGCGUCCCUCCAUCCUUGCAACCGGACCGAUUCUUCCUGUACCGGCGAAAUGGCUGACGGGGAGCCACAUGACCACGAGCGAGAUGAUGGUGUCGUCGUCAGGUACCCGGGGCCACGGGUGGACGGGUGGUUGGAGCUGGAGAUGGGCGACUUCCACACAGGUGAUAGUGAUGACGAGGCUACGGCUGCAGAAGAUGUUGACAUGAUACUCCAUGAGUGUGAGGAGCUGCAGUGGAAGAAGGGGCUAAUCAUCGAAGGCAUCGAGAUCAGGCCCAAGAAAAUUAAUUGA
This 885-nucleotide ribosomal RNA is filed under the name Triticum aestivum (bread wheat). Its description in RNAcentral is "partial small subunit ribosomal RNA". The record is from RNAcentral. Lineage: Eukaryota; Viridiplantae; Streptophyta; Magnoliopsida; Poales; Poaceae.